CUUGGAAGUUGCCACAAAUCGCAAACGGGCAUUUUUUUUCUUUCGUGGAUGUGGGAUUCUCCCUGAGUCCAAAAUAAAAUCCUUUUAAAUGGACAUAGAAGGUUCAGACAUUUGAUUUGUUAAUUCGGUGUAGAAUCAAGAGGUACUACUUUAUGCGCAUUAACUGCAGAAAUGCAAGAGAGACUGGCGUCAUUGACCAAACAGAAGAUAUUGUAGGUAUAAAGGAAGAAACUAGAGAGCCCUGAAGUAUAAUGGAUAUGUUGGUAUCAGUAGGACGCCGUUCUGGUGUAGCGCAGAUGGUGUCACUAGCAAUAGGCGGAAUGUUGAUGCUAACAAUAGAAGUCACAGCGGAUGAAGAAAAGUUAUUUUGGAGGGUCAGUGGUUCUGAUAAUGUCAUCGAAAUCCAUGAAAAACCGGUUGGCAAACAAGCAUCACCAUUAUCAAGAACUAAACAUUCUAGGGAGUUUAUAUCUGUGGGCAUGCACUGCCAAUAAGAAAAUCUAGGAUUGGUUAGUAACAACUAUCAUCUACAUCUCGAAGUCAUUCUUCC
This 550-nucleotide long non-coding RNA is filed under the name Androctonus crassicauda. Lineage: Eukaryota; Metazoa; Arthropoda; Arachnida; Scorpiones; Buthidae. The record is from RNAcentral.